This 22-nucleotide non-coding RNA is filed under the name Arabidopsis thaliana (thale cress). The record is from RNAcentral. Lineage: Eukaryota; Viridiplantae; Streptophyta; Magnoliopsida; Brassicales; Brassicaceae.
AGACUAUAAUUGAUGAAUGGUA